GGUUAAGCGACUAAGCGUACACGGUGGAUGCCCUGGCAGUCAGAGGCGAUGAAGGACGUGCUAAUCUGCGAUAAGCGCCGGUAAGGUGAUAUGAACCGUUAUAACCGGCGAUUUCCGAAUGGGGAAACCCAGUGUGACUCGUCACACUAUCAUUAACUGAAUCCAUAGGUUAAUGAGGCGAACCGGGGGAACUGAAACAUCUAAGUACCCCGAGGAAAAGAAAUCAACCGAGAUUCCCCCAGUAGCGGCGAGCGAACGGGGAGGAGCCCAGAGCCUGAAUCAGCAUGUGUGUUAGUGGAAGCGUCUGGAAAGGCGCGCGAUACAGGGUGACAGCCCCGUACACAAAAGCGCAUGUGCUGUGAGCUCGAUGAGUAGGGCGGGACACGUGGUAUCCUGUCUGAAUAUGGGGGGACCAUCCUCCAAGGCUAAAUACUCCUGACUGACCGAUAGUGAACCAGUACCGUGAGGGAAAGGCGAAAAGAACCCCGGCGAGGGGAGUGAAAAAGAACCUGAAACCGUGUACGUACAAGCAGUGGGAGCCCCACCACUAAGCCAGUGGUGAACUCCACAUACGCAUCCUUUGCUGAGGAUACGGUUAACGGAGCGAAAGCGACGUUCAACCKCAAAAGAAGCAGAGGGGGCUUAGUGGUGGGGUGACUGCGUACCUUUUGUAUAAUGGGUCAGCGACUUAUAUUCUGUAGCAAGGUUAACCGUAUAGGGGAGCCGCAGGGAAACCGAGUCUUAACCGGGCGUUAAGUUGCAGGGUAUAGACCCGAAACCCGGUGAUCUAGCCAUGGGCAGGUUGAAGGUUGGGUAACACUAACUGGAGGACCGAACCGACUAAUGUUGAAAAAUUAGCGGAUGACCUGUGGCUGGGGGUGAAAGGCCAAUCAAACCGGGAG
This 902-nucleotide ribosomal RNA is filed under the name Salmonella enterica. Its description in RNAcentral is "partial 23S ribosomal RNA". The record is from RNAcentral. Lineage: Bacteria; Pseudomonadati; Pseudomonadota; Gammaproteobacteria; Enterobacterales; Enterobacteriaceae.